Molecule: long non-coding RNA, 524 nt
Organism: Mirounga angustirostris (Northern elephant seal)
Lineage: Eukaryota; Metazoa; Chordata; Mammalia; Carnivora; Phocidae
Exons: 3
Source: RefSeq, a predicted model, not a curated record
GAGCCAGCAUGCUCAGAAUGAAAUGGAAGCUGCGUUGUUGAAGGCAGAGCAAAGACAGUCAUUGCAAGCAGUGAGGGGCCCCUCCCAGGGACCUGACAAGUGAAGAAAAGUCGAACAAAAGACAGUCUGGUUGUAUCUCUCCUGCGGAGGUCCCAUCUCCUGAUCUCUUGGUGGAUGACCCUCUCUGCCCGGCGCUUGCUUGCUCUCUCUCUCAGUUCCGGUACCCACUCUCUCCUCUUCGCACUUAGGAAUGGUAUGGUUGUAUGAACAUUUUGCUCUGAGAAAAGAGUGAGUGAGCAAGCCGGAAUCUGUGUCCAAGGAGGUAAGUGUGUGAACCCACGCCUUUGCUUGUCUUUUUAUUUUGCAUACGAGCACUCUGGCCACUUGUUCAUGCUUCCUUCCUCGUACAGGCUUCUGCCCCAAGCUGGCGUGGGAGGCAGACCACAUACAUGGAUGAUGCUAUAAUGUGAUGUGAUGGUGGAUGGAUGCUGAAAGUAUAAUGGGCGCAUAGAGGAAGGAGGGAC